AGAAAAAAGAGAAAGAAGUAUUUUUAUUCUCUAUUUUAUUCAAUUUCUUAAUCCUUUUAGUCAUCGGGUGUUGAAAGAGUUUCCGUCAACCUCUUUCACGAUCGUGCUCGCAGGAGGAGGAAUUUCGGUCGUAUCUUGGGGUAUUGUUCCCGGUUAAUCCCGCACGUAAGGACGAGAAUACGCCUUAGGGCAGUGCCUCGCACGCUUCCGGAUCAAAUUUUCUAUUUGGAUUUAGCAAUUAUCUGUAAGUUGUAUUUAUUUAUUUUUAUAAUAAAAUUUAGUUAGAUUUAAAUCACAAUCAGAUUUUCGUUGCGGUAUUUGUUCCAACAGGUUUCCUUUUCUCUAAUGUUUUAUAUCACCCCUUUGGCAAUUUUUUAUACACAAAAAUCUUAUAUGUAAUAGCAAUUUUGUAUAAAAUCAAGAUUAUAUGGCUAAAAUAUAGAAAACUCUAUUAUAAAGCCUUAUUUAUUCACUUCUUCUCUCUGAUUUUUAAAAAUCUUUAUUUUGCCUUCUUAAAAUUUUAAAUUUUUGCUCUUAGCUCAGCCGUCAAUAUCCCAUCACUAUUUCGUUAAUAUUUUAUAUUAGGGAUAAUUGCCUAUACACCCCUCAUGCGUUCGGAAAUAUCCGAUCUACCCCUACUUUUUUUUUCUUUCUAAAAUGCCCCUCAUAUGUUCCACCGUUAUUCCAAAAUACCCUCGCAGUUAUCCCCUGUUAGCUUAACUCGGGUUAAACAUGAGUUAAAUGUAUACUAGAGUUAAAACCUAUAUAAAAUACCUAUUUUACCCCUAACUUAUUAUGCCAAUUCCUUAAGUUAUCCUCUUUCUCUCCCAAAGUCCCAACUUGAUCGCCGGCUCCUCCGCCUCCAUGUCGCCGGCUCCCGCUGCCGG
RNAcentral lists this long non-coding RNA (887 nucleotides) under Ananas comosus (pineapple). RNAcentral's name for it is "long non-coding RNA (ACOM_LNC012091)". Lineage: Eukaryota; Viridiplantae; Streptophyta; Magnoliopsida; Poales; Bromeliaceae. The record is from RNAcentral.